Long non-coding RNA from Cydia fagiglandana, 739 nucleotides. RefSeq lists it as uncharacterized. The record is from RefSeq and is a predicted model, not a curated record. The transcript is spliced from 2 exons. NCBI's taxonomy places the organism in Eukaryota, Metazoa, Arthropoda, Insecta, Lepidoptera, Tortricidae.
UGUAUCUUUAGGUAUUUAAAUACAAGUAAUCAAAAUGUACCCUCAAGUGGCUCCUUAAGCCAGUUGAGGGUAGAUGAAAACAUUACAUGAUCAAAUAAUGUAGAAUAUAGUCAGGUCCUUCAGUGACAGGUUCAGGCGUUUUUGUAUUUGGUUGGUUAACCAAUAAAUGUUACCAACUACCUGAAACUUUACAAAUUAUUUGUUUACUUUUAUUUAAAUACUUAAAAGAUACAGAGUAUAGACGGUUCAAGAUUUUGCAUGCGAUUUACGUUACAUUACAAUUUACAGUAUUUGGUCGGUCGACUGAAUUGCGUACUCUGUAAUCAGCAAUAUCGAACAUUGUAUGCAAGUUCUUGCCCCAUCUAUAUGGGGCUUUACAGAAAGUCGGUAGAGCAGGAGUGAAACUCUAUCUUUAUGACUGUGUUUGAGCGACGUACGUGAGUUGUUACCCUAUGACGGUCUUUCCUGCAAUAAAUUUAAUAUGCCGGUCUUCCCCACAUUGUACUUAUGUCCAGUUUUUUUUUAUAAAUGUGUAGUGGUCACUAUGAUCUCGAGUAUAUUUACUUUAGAAAUGUAAUUUAAGUUUAAAUUCGUCCAUUAGCAAAUGUAAGCUUUAAGAUUGUAAUGUACUUACGUACGUUUAGUUUUAUUCAUAAUUAUGAAUGUUUUAAAAAUUGUGGAAGUUUAUGACCUAAGUGCCUUAAUUAUAAAAGUAUUUGUAAUAAAGUGACUAAUUUUA